CCUACUGGUGGCAGCAGUGAGGAAUAUUGGUCAAUGGACGCAAGUCUGAACCAGCCACGCCGCGUGCAGGAUGACGGCUCUCUGUUUUGUAAACUUCUUUUGUACGAGGGUAAACUGCGAUACGCGUAUCUUUCUGCACGUAUCUUACGAGUAAGGAUCGGCUAACUCCGUGCCAGCAGCCGCGGUAAUACGGAGGAUUCAAGCGUUAUCCGGUUGUAUUGGGUUUAAAGGGUGCGUAGGCGGUUGGGUAAGUUAGAUGUGAAAGCCCGGGGCUCAACUUCGGAAUUGCCUCUGAUACUGUUCGGCUAGAGAGUAGUUGAGGUAGGCGGAAUGUAUGGUGUAGCGGUGAAAUGCUUAGAGAUCAGACAGAACACCGAUUGCGAAGGCAGCUUACUAAGCUGCGACUGACGUUGAGGCACGAAAGCGUGGGGAGCAAACAGGAUUAGAUACCCGGGUAGUC
This 460-nucleotide ribosomal RNA is filed under the name uncultured bacterium. RNAcentral describes it as "partial 16S ribosomal RNA". It matches the Rfam family "Bacterial small subunit ribosomal RNA", at positions 338 to 795 of the family's 1533-position model. The record is from RNAcentral.